UGCAAUGUUGGUGUUCCAUGUGCUGUGCAUG
RNAcentral lists this non-coding RNA (31 nucleotides) under Mus musculus (house mouse). The record is from RNAcentral. Lineage: Eukaryota; Metazoa; Chordata; Mammalia; Rodentia; Muridae.